ACCCUCGAUGGUAUGUCUGCAAUUUCAACAGAGGAUCAGCAUAAAAAAAAGAGAAGAAAGAAGAGAGAAGAAAAACAGACCUAGGCAAGGAACCGAGCUGAGACCGACAUCAUAUAGGGCUUGCUCGAUGACGAGCUCCCUCUGCUUCGGCACCGAGAUGUCCUUCAGACGGUGGAAGUCCUCUCGAUCCCCGGCCUCCACCCGACUAUUCUCAUUUGGUUGAGUUCGGGGGUCCCCCCAGCGGGAAGGGAACCCCCAAGGAAUGGGAGAAGAGAUAAAGAAGAACUGAUUCUUCCAUCCAUGAAUCGACGAUGAAAGACCAGUGAUGAAGGAAAGACCC
RNAcentral lists this long non-coding RNA (340 nucleotides) under Elaeis guineensis (African oil palm). RNAcentral describes it as "long non-coding RNA (EGUI_LNC010525)". Lineage: Eukaryota; Viridiplantae; Streptophyta; Magnoliopsida; Arecales; Arecaceae. The record is from RNAcentral.